RNAcentral lists this non-coding RNA (86 nucleotides) under unclassified sequences. The record is from RNAcentral.
AAAAAACUGCCACCGGGUAGAUAGCGAAAGCAUUCAUUACACAUCAUUAGGUCUUUGAAGAUGUGUAAAUGGAUGCUUAUUUUUAU